Molecule: ribosomal RNA, 481 nt
Filed under: uncultured bacterium
Lineage: Bacteria
Description: partial 16S ribosomal RNA
Rfam family: Bacterial small subunit ribosomal RNA
Source: RNAcentral
AUUGAACGCUGGCGGCAUGCCUUACACAUGCAAGUCGAACGGUAACAGGUCUUCUGCUGCUGACGAGUGGCGCACGGGUGCGUAAUACAUCGGAACGUGCCCAGACGUGGGGAUAACGAGGCGAAAGCUUUGCUAAUACCGCAUACGAUCUAAGGAUGAAAGCAGGGGACCGCAAGGCCUUGUGCGUUUGUAGCGUCCGAUGGCAGAUUAGGUAGUUGGUGGGAUAAAAGCUUACCAAGCCGACGAUCUGUAGCUGGUCUGAGAGGACGACCAGCCACACUGGGACUGAGACACGGCCCAGACUCCUACGGGAGGCAGCAGUGGGGAAUGUUGGACAAUGGGCGAAAGCCUGAUCCAGCAAUGCCGCGUGCAGGAUGAAGGCCUUCGGGUUGUAAACUGCUUUUGUACGGAAAGAAAAGGCUCUGGCUAAUACCUGGGGCACAUGACGGUACCGUAAGAAUAAGCACCGGCUAACUACGUG